GAUGAACGCUAGCUACAGGCUUAACACAUGCAAGUCGAGGGGAAACGCCAUCGAAAGCUUGCUUUUGAUGGGCGUCGACCGGCGCACGGGUGAGUAACGCGUAUCCAACCUGCCCAUCACUUGGGAAUAACCUUGCGAAAGUAAGACUAAUACCCAAUGAUAUCCCACGAAGGCAUCGGAAUGGGAUUAAAGAUUUAUCGGUGAUGGAUGGGGAUGCGUCUGAUUAGCUUGUUGGCGGGGUAACGGCCCACCAAGGCAACGAUCAGUAGGGGUUCUGAGAGGAAGGUCCCCCACAUUGGAACUGAGACACGGUCCAAACUCCUACGGGAGGCAGCAGUGAGGAAUAUUGGUCAAUGGGCGAGAGCCUGAACCAGCCAAGUAGCGUGCAGGAGGACGGCCCUAUGGGUUGUAAACUGCUUUUAUAAGGGAAUAAAGUGGGUCACGUGUGACUUUUUGCAUGUACCUUAUGAAUAAGGACCGGCUAAUUCCGUG
Molecule: ribosomal RNA, 492 nt
Filed under: uncultured bacterium
Lineage: Bacteria
Description: partial 16S ribosomal RNA
Rfam family: Bacterial small subunit ribosomal RNA
Source: RNAcentral